CAGGGAGACAACACAAUGAUUUUGAUGCGUGAGUGCUUUUAUUCUUAGGCCGGAAUCCUGUCACCUUAGGUCGAUCGGUACCUCAGCUUUGAAGUCAAGGAUCAGCAGCAAUGUUGAUUGCUUGAUGGAGAUUUUCAGUUCCUAAACUUUGUCUAGGUCACACCCCAAAAGGGAUGAGACUCCUGGGCCAUUAGCUCAGGUGGUUAGAGCGCACCCCUGAUAAGGGUGAGGUCCCUGGUUCAAGUCCAGGAUGGCCCAUUCGGUGUUGGGGGUUUAGCUCAGUUGGUAGAGCGCCUGCUUUGCAAGCAGGAUGUCAGGAGUUCGAGUCUCCUAACCUCCACUGACCGAACUUGAUUCCCAUCUCCAAUUUUUUGGAGUUGAGCUCGAUUGGAGUGUGAUUUAGAUGAGUGCGCUGGAUGACCCCAGCUUCCUGUCAUUCCAAGUUUUAGGUUGAUGCCUUGAAUUUGGUUGAUAAGAUGCUGGGCUCGGAUCAAAUGAUCAAGCAAUUGAUGGUUUGAUUUGAAGUUCUAGCAGAACCUUGACAACUGCAUAGGUGAGUCUGGAAAAAACAAAGCAUCUUACAGAUGCAUUGUUUUGAAUCUGAUCUUCUGAAAGGGAGAUUGGAUCUAGAACAAUGAAAAUUCUUUUGAGCAAGAGCCGAGACUCUUGAACGUUCUUUGAUUGGUGUCGAGCCAAUCAGAGUUUGAUCUUGUUUUUAGCAAUAAAAACUUGAGAAUCUGCUUUCAACGGCGGUAAGCGUUCAAGAGGUUAAUU
This 774-nucleotide transfer RNA is filed under the name uncultured cyanobacterium. RNAcentral's name for it is "partial 16S-23S ribosomal RNA intergenic spacer". The stretch from base 268 to 340 matches the Rfam family "tRNA". The record is from RNAcentral. Lineage: Bacteria; Bacillati; Cyanobacteriota.